AUUGAACGCUGGCGGCAGGCCUAACACAUGCAAGUCGAACGGUAACAGGCUGUAUGGGAUCCCUUCGGGGUGAACUUGGCGCUGACGAGUGGCGAACGGGUGAGUAACGCGUAGGAAUCUACCCAGGAGUGGGGACAACCCGGAGAAAUCCGGGCUAAUACCGCAUACGCCCUACGGGGCAAAGUGGGGGACCUCUUCGGAGGCCUCACGCUUCUGGAUGAGCCUGCGUCGGAUUAGCUUGUUGGUGAGGUAAGAGCUCACCAAGGCGACGAUCCGUAGCUGGUCUGAGAGGAUGACCAGUCACACUGGGACUGAGACACGGCCCAGACUCCUACGGGAGGCAGCAGUGGGGAAUAUUGGACAAUGGGGGAAACCCUGAUCCAGCCAUGCCGCGUGUGUGAAGAAGGCCCUAGGG
This 415-nucleotide ribosomal RNA is filed under the name uncultured bacterium. RNAcentral describes it as "bacterial SSU rRNA". It matches the Rfam family "Bacterial small subunit ribosomal RNA", at positions 29 to 422 of the family's 1533-position model. The record is from RNAcentral.